GCCCGUUGGUGUGCGGCACACUGCGGUCCGUGCCCGGCCCGGGGCCCGCGCCCGCACCGGGGUGGAAGCGGGCCUUGGCGUAGUUGCUCACGAACUGGUCCUGCAGGAAAGAACCGGCCAUAGCGUAGCGGGCCCCGGGCACAAUCUGCGAGCGCGGGGAGUCGUUGGGCGAGGGGGUCAGGCGGUCCAUGUCGCAGCCAGUGUAGAUCCUGCGAGGGAAGGAGAGAGAGAGAGAACCGAGGGGUGGCCGAGAGGUCCCCUCGGGAGGCAGAAGGGAAGGUCACCUCCACUUGUGGCCCACCCCCACACUGUCCAUCUGUAACUUGCCGUCCAGGAUGGAGAGAGACGAAAGGUCACAGACCUGCGUCCUCCCCAAAACAAAAUAAAUCGUGAAAUUGUAGAGGGAUCAAUGUACUUAUACAGGAACCUAAGCAAAAUGCAGACCAAGAGGAAGUCUUCCCUCUCCCUCGCUCUCUCUCACCGACUGCACGGGGGAUCAGAGAGCAAAGCACAGCAGGGGAUACUCAUCCCACUUCUCCAAUGUAUUUAUAAACAUGAGGGCAGAUUCGCCCAGGGACUACGGUGUUACUUGCCCUGUGGGCCUUUCCUGUGUAGUGAGAGUUUCUGCGCAAAAUUUCUAAACAAGAUAUCCAUUUCUUCACUCUUUUAAGAACACUUUCUUCCAUUUGACACACACUCGGGCUGUCCAGGUAGUAAUCAUGGAAGCCUGGCCUUCACCAGUCUUCUGAGACUUGAAGACUUGCUGCUGGAAGCCUCUACUGUACUUGCUGUCCAUUGUUUCCCCCAGGUGAUCCUUUACCCCCCACCUCUACCAAUACUAACAAGAAUUACUACUUAGAGA
Molecule: long non-coding RNA, 862 nt
Filed under: Lynx pardinus (Iberian lynx)
Lineage: Eukaryota; Metazoa; Chordata; Mammalia; Carnivora; Felidae
Source: RNAcentral